CCUACGGGAGGCAGCAGUGGGGGAUAUUGCACAAUGGGGGAAACCCUGAUGCAGCGACGCCGCGUGGGCGAAGAAGUAUCUCGGUAUGUAAAGCCCUAUCAGCAGGGAAGAAGAAAUGACGGUACCUGAGUAAGAAGCACCGGCUAAAUACGUGCCAGCAGCCGCGGUAAUACGUAUGGUGCAAGCGUUAUCCGGAUUUACUGGGUGUAAAGGGAGCGCAGGCGGCACGGCAAGCCUGAUGGGAAAGCCCGGGGCCCAACCGCGGGACUGCAUUGGGAACUGCCGGGCUGGAGUGCCGGAGAGGUAGGCGGAAUUCGUAGUGUAGCGGUGAAAUGCGUAGAUAUUAGGAGGAACACCAGUGGCGAAGGCGGCCUACUGGACGGUGACUUACGCUGAGGCUCGAAAGCGUGGGGAGCAAACAGGAUUAGAUACCCCAGUAGUC
RNAcentral lists this ribosomal RNA (442 nucleotides) under uncultured bacterium. Its description in RNAcentral is "partial 16S ribosomal RNA". It matches the Rfam family "Bacterial small subunit ribosomal RNA", at positions 338 to 795 of the family's 1533-position model. The record is from RNAcentral.